Molecule: small nuclear RNA, 161 nt
Filed under: Saimiri boliviensis boliviensis (Bolivian squirrel monkey)
Lineage: Eukaryota; Metazoa; Chordata; Mammalia; Primates; Cebidae
Description: U1 spliceosomal RNA (ENSSBOG00000015665.1)
Rfam family: U1 spliceosomal RNA
About the family: U1 is a small nuclear RNA (snRNA) component of the spliceosome (involved in pre-mRNA splicing). Its 5' end forms complementary base pairs with the 5' splice junction, thus defining the 5' donor site of an intron.
Source: RNAcentral
AUACUUACCUGGCAGGGGAGAUACCAUGAUCACGAAGGUGGUUUUCCCAGGGCGAAGCUUAUCCAUUGCACUCCGGAUGUGCUGACCCCUGCGAUUUCCCCAAAUGUGAGAAACUCGACUGCAUAACUUGUGGUAGUGGAAAGUGUAUUCGCGCUUUCCCC